Molecule: non-coding RNA, 32 nt
Filed under: Geobacter sulfurreducens PCA
Lineage: Bacteria; Pseudomonadati; Thermodesulfobacteriota; Desulfuromonadia; Geobacterales; Geobacteraceae
Source: RNAcentral
CUACGCAAUGGCUCACUAAUGUGGUCCAUACG